AGUGAACGCUGGCGGUAGGCCUAACACAUGCAAGUCGAACGGCAGCACAGUAAGAGCUUGCUCUUACGGGUGGCGAGACGCGGGAGGGACAGGUAUACAUCCGACUCUACUUUUUCGUAGGGGAUAACGUAGCGAGACUUACGCUAAUACCGCAUACGACCUACGGGUGAAAGCAUGGGAUCUUCGGACCUUGCGGGAUUGAAUGCGCCGAUGUCGGAUUAGCUAGUUGGCGGGGUAAAGGCCCACCAAGGCGACGAUCCGUAGCUGGUCUGAGAGGAUGAUCAGCCACACUGGAACUGAGACACGGUCCAGAGUCCUACGGGAGGGAGCAGUGUGGAAUAUUGGACAGUAGGCGCGAGCCUGAUCCAGCGGGACCGAGUGUGAUGAGAAGGCCUUGGGGUUGUGAAGCCGUUUUGUUGGGAAAGAAAAGCAGCAGGUUAUUACGCAGCUGUUCUGACGGUACCCAAAGAAUAAGCACCGGCUAACUUCGUG
This 492-nucleotide ribosomal RNA is filed under the name uncultured bacterium. RNAcentral's name for it is "partial 16S ribosomal RNA". It matches the Rfam family "Bacterial small subunit ribosomal RNA", at positions 29 to 507 of the family's 1533-position model. The record is from RNAcentral.